This is a transfer RNA of Camelus ferus (Wild Bactrian camel), 73 nucleotides long. It matches the Rfam family "tRNA". From Rfam's summary of the family: Transfer RNA (tRNA) molecules are approximately 80 nucleotides in length. Their secondary structure includes four short double-helical elements and three loops (D, anti-codon, and T loops). NCBI's taxonomy places the organism in Eukaryota, Metazoa, Chordata, Mammalia, Artiodactyla, Camelidae. The record is from Rfam.
GAGGGUAUAGUUCAAGCGGUAGAGUGUGUGCUUAGCAUGCAUAAGGUCCUGAGUUCAAUCCCCAGUACCUACU